GCUUCUGAUGCAUUUAUUUUUAGAAUUUCACGAGAAUAAAGAGUCAUGAAAUCAUUAGAUUUACAAGAUAGUGAUCCGGAAAAUAAAACUACACUCAAGUCACAGGGAUCUCCUCACAGAUUCCAAUAGUGACGAUGUAACUACAGCAUCAGUUAGACCACCAAUACUCAUGUUCGUUAGAACAGGUACUCCGAAUCCAGUUGAAGAAUGUUGUCAUCUUUCUGAAAUUGUUGUCUCUACCAACAAAAGCUACACCACUAAUAAAGAUUAUAGCUUUAGCUAUCUCCUAACAGAUUCCAAUAGUGAUGAUGUAACUACAGCAUCAGUUAGACCACCAAUACUCAUGUUCGUUAGAACAGGUACUCCGAAUCCAGUUGAAGAAUGUUGUCAUCUUUCUGAAAUUGUUGUCUCUACCAACAAAAGCUACACCACUAAUAAAGAUUAUAGCUUUAGCUAUCUCCUAACAGAUUCCAAUAGUGAU
This 481-nucleotide unclassified non-coding RNA is filed under the name Hevea brasiliensis (rubber tree). The record is from RNAcentral. Lineage: Eukaryota; Viridiplantae; Streptophyta; Magnoliopsida; Malpighiales; Euphorbiaceae.